This 424-nucleotide ribosomal RNA is filed under the name uncultured bacterium. Its description in RNAcentral is "partial 16S ribosomal RNA". It matches the Rfam family "Bacterial small subunit ribosomal RNA", at positions 360 to 776 of the family's 1533-position model. The record is from RNAcentral.
AAUAUUGGACAAUGGGCGAAAGCCUGAUCCAGCCAUGCCGCGUGUGUGAAGAAGGUCUUCGGAUUGUAAAGCACUUUAAGUUGGGAGGAAGGGGUUGAAGCUAAUACCUUCAAUCUUUGACGUUACCAACAGAAUAAACACCGGCUAACUCUGUGCCAGCAGCCGCGGUAAUACAGAGGGUGCAAGCGUUAAUCGGAAUUACUGGGCGUAAAGCGCGCGUAGGUGGUUUGUUAAGUUGGAAGUGAAAGCCCCGGGCUCAACCUGGGAACUGCUUUCAAAACUGGCAAGCUAGAGUAUGGCAGAGGGUGGUGGAAUUUCCUGUGUAGCGGUGAAAUGCGUAGAUAUAGGAAGGAACACCAGUGGCGAAGGCGACUUUCUGGACGUUAACUGACGCUGAGGCGCGAAAGCGUGGGGAGCAAACAGG